RNAcentral lists this ribosomal RNA (131 nucleotides) under Vibrio parahaemolyticus. RNAcentral describes it as "partial 16S ribosomal RNA". The record is from RNAcentral. Lineage: Bacteria; Pseudomonadati; Pseudomonadota; Gammaproteobacteria; Vibrionales; Vibrionaceae.
UGGGCGCAAGCCUGAUGCAGCCAUGCCGCGUGUGUGAAGAAGGCCUUCGGGUUGUAAAGCACUUUCAGUCGAAAGGAAGGUGGUAGUGUUAAUAGCACUAUCAUUGGUGUUCCCCCAAAGGAGACGCCCCG